CUCAACAUGGCGGCGCCCUAUCGGCCAAACUCGAGGCUUCAAGGCAGUCCACAAACCAACGGGUGACGUGGUGGUAGCGGGAGGACUCCAAGGGACCGUGCUGCUGCUACCCACAGGUUUGACUACGGAUCCAAGUCACAUAAUUUUGAAUUAGGCCCUCCCUGUGUUGAAAUGCACCGUGACUACAUCGCAGUGUUUCCGGGCACAUGUAAACCUCGACGAGGGGAAACAAUAGCCCCAAAAGAGACAAAGAGGAGUUCCAAUUAGAAACUAACACGGUCAGUGAUUCUAGAUCAGCACCAAGACGAUGUGAAAUUGAGUGCAGGCCGCACUCACCGCAUCUCAUCCGCCCAUCCCCUCCUGCCGGCUGCCACUUGCAGUAGUGGUGAUGCUGCUCCCUGGUGUGUAGAGGAGGAGAGAGAGCGUGUCCGCUGCCCAAUGACAGCGCAGGAUGCUGAGAGAGGCUGCUGGGGUGAAUGGAGGCGACAAGAUGCCGUCUAGAACGGCGAAGGAGAGGAAUUUACAUCCAUGAAGAUCUGACUUUGAUGUGCUCCACCUAUUAAGGCAUGAAAUAAGUCACCCAUGUGCAGUUCAGAGAGUCAGAGCAGCUUCAUUUCUGCGUGCUCCUGUUAAGGACCGUCUGGUGGCUACACCGCCGAUUCACAGGACAUGUACGGCAGUGCCAGAGCUGUAGGCCAUAUAGAGAGCAGCCCCGCACGGUCCCCGCGCCUGCCAAGGUCCCCCAGACUGGGCCAUCGGAGGGCCAACAGCGGGGGCGGGGGCGGUGCGGGGGGCAAGACGCUCUCCAUGGAGAACAUCCAGUCCCUCAACGCUGCCUAUGCUACUUCUGGGCCCAUGUACCUGAGCGAUCACGAGGGCGUCGGCUCCACUGCCACCUACCCAAAAGGCACUAUGACUCUGGGUCGCGCCACCAGCCGGGCCAUGUACGGGGGCCGCGUCACAGCCAUGGGCAGCAGUCCCAACAUUGCUUCAGUGGGGCUGCCUCAUCAUGCUGACCUUCUGUCUUACAGUGACCUGGGCUCCCUCUCCAUGCUGCACCACCACCACCACCACCAGGGGGUGCCCUCCGCUCUGCUGAGGCAGGCGGUGCGGAGCAGUGGGGGGGAGCUGCUGGAGAUGCAGGCCCAGCUCAGGGAUAUGCAGAGGGAGAAUGAGCUGCUGCGCAGAGAGCUUGACCUAAAGGACAGUAAGUUAGGAUCUUCCACCAACAGCAUCAAGAGCUUCUGGAGUCCUGAGCUGAAGAAGGAGAGGAUAAUGAGGAAAGAAGAGGCGGCUCGCACAUCAAUCCUUAAAGAGCAGAUGAGAGUCACUCAUGAGGAGAAUCAGCAUCUCCAGAUGACCAUCCAGGCUCUGCAGGACGAGCUGCGCACGCAGCGAGACCUGAACCACCUGCUGCAGCAGGAGAGCGGUAACCGCUCCGCUUCUGAGCACUUCACUACCAUCGAGCUGACGGAGGAGAACUUCCGUCGGCUGCAGGCCGAACACGACAGGCAGGCCAAGGAGCUGUUUUUGUUGAGAAAGACCCUGGAGGAGAUGGAGCUGAGGAUUGAGACCCAGAAACAAACACUGGGUGCCAGAGAUGAGUCCAUUAAGAAACUGCUAGAGAUGCUGCAAAGUAAAGGGCUGCCCCCGGGGCCGGGCAGGGCAUCUGAGGAGGAAGAGCAGGAGAGAGCUAGGCGCAUUGCUGAGGCAGAGGCCCAGCUUGGACACCUGGAGGUCAUUUUGGAUCAAAAAGAGAAGGAGAACAUCCAUCUGCGAGAGGAACUGCACAGAAGGAAUCAGCUGCAUCAGGAUCCAAGCAAAACCAAGGCCCUGCAGACCAUCAUAGAAAUGAAAGACACCAAAAUUGCCUCACUGGAGCGCAACAUUCGGGAUCUAGAGGAUGAGAUCCAAAUGCUGAAGGCGAACGGCUUACUGAACACAGAGGACAGAGAGGAGGAGAUCAAACAGAUGGAGGUCUACAAGAACCACUCUAAGUUUAUGAAGACCAAGAUUGACCAGCUGAAGCAGGAGCUGUCAAAGAAGGAGUCGGAGCUGCUGGCUCUCCAGACAAAACUAGAGACCCUCAACAACCAGAACUCAGACUGCAAACAGCAUAUCGAGGUGCUCAAAGAGUCUCUUACUGCCAAGGAGCAACGUGCUGCCAUCCUGCAAACAGAGGUGGAUGCGCUGCGUCUGCGUCUGGAGGAGAAAGAGUCCUUCCUGAACAAGAAAACCAAGCAGCUGCAGGACCUGACGGAAGAGAAGGGCACUCUUGCCGGAGAAAUCAGGGACAUGAAAGACAUGCUAGAGGUCAAAGAAAGGAAGAUCAAUGUCCUGCAGAAGAAGAUUGAGAACCUGCAGGAGCAGCUGCGGGACAAAGACAAGCAGCUGGGGAACCUGAAGGACAGGGUCAAGUCUCUGCAGACAGACUCCAGUAACACAGACACUGCCCUGGCCACCCUGGAGGAGGCACUGUCAGAGAAGGAGAGGAUUAUUGAGCGUUUAAAGGACCAAAGGGAGAGGGAAGACAGAGAACGCCUGGAAGAAGUAGAGUCCUAUAAGAAAGAAAACAAGGAUCUGAAGGAGAAGGUCAACAGUCUGCAGAUAGAAUUAACGGACAAAGAGUCCAGUCUCAUCGAUUUGAAGGAACACGCCUCAUCCCUGGCAUCCUCUGGCCUCAAGAAGGAUUCAAAGCUCAAGUCACUGGAGAUUGCCAUCGAGCAGAAAAAAGAGGAGUGUAGUAAGUUGGAGACGCAGUUGCAGAAGAAGGCCCACGAGGUGGAGCAGCAUUCCGGCUCCAGAGGGAACCCGGACUACGUGGACCGAGUAAAGCUGCUCGAGAAGGAGGUGAGCUACUACAAGGACGAGGCCAACAAGGCUCAGACGGAGGUGGAGAGACUCCUAGACAUCCUGCGAGAGGUGGAGACGGAAAAGAAUGACAAGGACAAGAAGAUCGCCGAGUUGGAAAGACAAGGAGGCAAAGACCAGACUAAGAAGGGUCCAAACAUCAAACUGGGACCACAAGGGGACAAGAAAGGCUUAGGACAAGACCCUCGCAAGGACAGCUCCAUGGAUAGUGGUCACCACAUAAAGUUGGAGGAGCUGAUGAGCACGCUGGAAAGGACCAGGCAGGAGCUGGAUUCUACCAAGCAGCGUCUCUCUUCCACACAGCAGUCACUGCAGGAGAGAGACAGCCACCUCACCAACAUGAGACAAGAGCGCAGGAAACAGCUGGAGGAGAUCCUCGAGAUGAAGCAACAAGCUCUGCUGGCAGCCAUCAGUGAGAAAGAUGCUAAUAUUGCACUGCUGGAACUGUCUGCCUCCAAUAAAAAGAAGACCCAGGAUGAGGUGCUGUCCCUCAAGAGGGAGCGGGACAAACUGAUGCACCAGCUCAAACAACAUACACAAAGCAGAAUGAAGCUGAUAGCCGACAACUACGAAGAUGAGCAAUAUCAUCCACACGGUCCUCACCACCCCCAGCCUCAGCCCCCACACGCUCAGCCUCAGCCGCAGCCCCAGUACCCCCACGCUCCCCAUGCCCAGCAGACUCCAUAUCCACACGCCCUGCAUCCGCAACACCCACAGCACCCACAGGCUCCCCCACAACACCCACACCCGCAGCAGUCACAACCCCAGUACCCUCAUCCUCCUCACCAGCAGCACCCCCAGCAGCACCCUCAGCACCCCCAGCCGCCUCCCCAGCACCAACAGCACCCACGCCCACCGCAGCCCCAACACCCUCACCAACAGCACCCACAGCAUCCUCCACAACACCCACAUGGACACCCCCCUCCGCAGCACCCUCACCCUCAGCACCCACACGGCCCUCCCCAACAAGGACCUCACCCCCAACAUCCACAUCCCCAGCAUCCUCAGCACCCUCAGCACCCACAACACCCUCAGCACCCUCAGCAUCCACAACACCCUCAGCACCCUCAGCACCCACAACACCCGCACCACGGGCAGCAUCCACGUCACCCGUCACCCCAUCAUCGUGGCGGACCGGCCCGAGGACCCCCACAUGCUGGUCACCGCCCCACCCAGGACCAGGAUGAUGACGAGGGCAUCUGGGCGUAAUCCAUGCUGUGACAACCAAAGCUCUAAUUUGUUUUGAGGGAUGAUUCAGUCACUAGUGGAGGAGCACAGCCAUUCCAUGAUGUUGAAACACUACCCGACCAAACAUUUAUUACCUCCACUCAAUCAACAAACACUCAGAAAUGGGACCUUUGUUUAUUUUCCGGGCGAAGAGGAGGGGGCACACAGGUGCGCAGGUCAUGCGGGGGGACUGACAGCUGAGCAGGUGACCUGGGACCUCUUCUUUGUGUGAACAGCAGUAGAUGUCUUCUACUCCCUCCAUACAGGAUCACAGAUAUGGGAUGGCAUACGAAGGAAAGAGUCAGAUGUUGUUGUGGACGGAGAGACAGAUGUGCUGUGUGUCAAAUUCCUGCCUGGACAGGGAAUGUGAUAAACAUAGCAGCCCUGCAUAAGAGAUCUCACGGAGGUCACCUCACCUGUCUGUCACCUGCAGGAUGCUGCACCUCCUCAGGCCAACAACACCCUCUUGAUCCUCCCUGCAGAGAUCUCAUGACUGUCUGCCAGCCCAGUAUUUGUUCGUCAUCCUUCUUCCUUUGGUUGAUUCAAGAUCAUGGUUGUCCUGCUGACUGUUUCACCUGCCUGACUAAUUCCUUUGGCUCUGGUUGGCUCCCCCACUUGACUAUGUCAUGGUUUCUUGAUCCUCACUGCCCUGCUGACCCACCUGGUGACGUCUGACCCCUCUACCUGGCUUUCAUGACCCUUAGUGUACAGAGUCCCUUCUGUUGCUUUAGUCGUCUGACUGUGUCAAUGAGCUAUUUUACUCUUUGUGGCACAGAGUGACCUCUUUUUUUUGUACCUUUAUACAUGUCCCACCCUGCGUUUCUAAAGAAGCUCAUGUUUAGCAUUUCUAAAAGUGAUGUAGUGUCCCUUCACUUGCUCAUUCCACAAAAUAGUAUAUAUAGUAUGUUCCACACGCACCAGAUUCAAUUGAUUUGAGUUUUAUUUGUUGUCAUCUCUUGUUUGCAAAAGGAAGAGCUUAGAGUUGACUGAUAAUACGCCUUUAGCCUUGCCUGCAGCAUCGGGGGUUUUCUUGGCUGCAUGAGCAGGGCCCUUCUGUUCUUGGGCGUGUUGUAGCCUUAAGGUUGUGGCUGCCAUCAAUGUUUCUCUUCAUGUUACCUCAUUUUAAUCAAAUUUAGUCAAAAAAAAUCAAUCUAUGCAGGUGUCACCGUAGAGUGAAUGCAUUUUUAUUUCCCCAUCCUUACUCAAAUGUAUCACUCAAAGUGUAAUUAACCAUCCAAUCAGAGCGGCCAAGAGAGUGGUCAGAAAAUAUUCAUCAGUCAGAUUAUUUUGAGGUUCUGAGACUAUGCACCUAUGCACCGCCUCCGUGUUGCAGGAAUUUUUACUAAUGGUGCUUCUGCUGGUGCUCAAACUAAAUGGUGUCAGAAGACCGGGUCAAGAGCAUCUUUUAGUCAUUUUACAGUAGAGGGACUUGAUCCCACAAUGGGCUUAAUAAACAACUGUAAAAGUGCUUUGUACAUACGGUUCGACCUUGGGGGCUUUGUGAGCAGCGAUCACUUCCAGACCCACAAAGAGAUGAUUUAUCUGUAUGAAUACUGCUACUAUAAAUACUGCUCACUAUGAAGUGGAGGCAAUGUUCAAUAGAUGUUUUCCCUGCAGGUCUGUUUGUACCAUUGACACCCCAGUCUCUGACCUACAGGAUGCCCCUGUACCCCUCUCCCUUGUAAUUCUCCUCUUCCAGCUGUAGUCUAUGUGACCUCCCCAAACAUAGUGACUUGUUUUCUUCUUCUGAACAAGGUGGCCUGUGCCUCGUAAAAACUGUACACAUAUAUGAUAGAUAUGCAUAUAUUAUAUAUAUAGAGAGAAAUCUAUAGAGUGUGUCUAUACGUGGUCAGAAAAUUGUUUCAAACUGACAAGAUAAUAUAUGUUUUUUUCUUCAUGGUUAUUUUUCUAACUGGCUGGAGGUCAGAGAGAGAUGUCUUAUUUAGAGUGUUGAGGGCUGUGAUUUUCCUCUGAUUUGUACAUUGUGAAAAAAAACCCUCAGCAGCAAGUAACAUUCCCUGUCUGAAAACACAGGACAGCCUGAAAAAAGAGCUUUAGAGCAGUUUAUGGGAAAUAGAGUUGUGUAUCCAAAAUCUAUCUAGAAGUCUAGAAAAGAUGACAUUAUUACAUUCCUUUCUUAAUGUGAAAACAUUUAGUUGAAGACCACUUGGCUUGUGGUGACAACUUCGAACAAAAAAAAAAUAAAUAAGAAGACUUGUCUUGAAUCUUGCAGCUCACAUAGGUAGCAAUGAGAUUAUGUCUGCACUCAGCAGACAGAAACAUGCACUUGUGAGUGAGGACUAUCACUAUGAACAUCCAAGUGGCGGUUUGAGUGACUCUGUCGGGAUGCAUUUCUUUCGCUUGUUUGUCGUCGUUGUUGUCUUGUAAACAGAAGUGGUGACAUACGUGACCGUGACAGCUGAUUAAGUAGAAAAACCACACAUAUUGUCACAGUACAGUGGAAAAUUGAAUUAGACUGUUACUACCCUCCCACUUCCUCUCCCUCCCCUCAUGGUGCCUGUGUGUCUCCCUUAUAUGGCCAAAGUGUUGAUUGUUGUAUAUAAGCAUUUUUCCAUCUUUCACAAACCGAGGUGAUCCCUGCAUCAUCUUUCAUGUGUCCGCUUCACACAUGAACCUUUACAGCUCCUGUCACUGACCAAGAAUCAACAGAUUGUGUGAAAUGUUGGUGUUUGUGUUUACAAAUUGUUACGAGAAAGGUCCUGAUUUGGAUUUUCUUUUAAAAAAGGGAAGACAAUGCAAACAGACAGAGGAGCAAAAAUCCUCUCACUUCACCAUCAGGGGGGCGGAGUACGAAUCCUCCAUUUUCAGGUCCUUAUCUACUGAAUACUUGAAGUAGGGGGUUCUCCUACCAUGAAAUACCAUAUAUGAUUUACAUGGUAGAAAACAUGAAACAUGCCCAUGCAUGCUGACUUUUACAUGAUGUGCCAACUGAAAGUGAUGUUGUAAGGAUAAUCUCCUGUUCUCUAUGCAGAACGAUUUCUCAACCGUUGUGUCAAAAAGGUUUUGGAGACACAGAGGCUUAAAUGCUGGGGCUGGUUUCCUGGGCUUAGACUUAAGACUAAUCCUGGUUCUGAAUGACUGACAUUGCGCUCAGUGUGAGGUGGAGUCAAGAAGUCAAGUCUGCAUCUGUGCCUAGAAGCAGCCGUGUAGAAAGACUUGAGUUGGAAGGCCUGUAGAUUGACCAGUAAUAUUCAAAGGCCUUCAAGAAAAAGAAUGAAAAGCCUAACAUACAUUUUCACUUUAUUAUUAUUAUUGUAUACAGGUUAUUUUUCUUUUGUCGGGUUGCUGAAAACUUUGGAUUAAACAAAUCACUGUGACCAAUGCCAGAAACAUUUUUGUUUGACAGAACAAAUAUUGUGUUUACUUUUUUAUUAAUCAUUUUUUUUUAUUUAAGUUAGCUUUAUUUUUUCUAUUGUUUCACCUUAUUGAAUAUGCCAGUUUGAGACUGUACUAUUUGUAUAAGUAAAUGUUUUGAGCUGUACAGUAAAAACCUAGGAACAAGUUAAAUGUGAGUGUCCAGCAUGCUGAAUGAUUUCUUGUGUGAACGUGAGCUAAUGUCCCAUGAAGCAUCAUUCCUCACUCAUUAAUUGCAUCUGCAUUGUGACGGUGUGAUGUUGUGUUUGAGAGUGAUGUGUGUCUCACUUACUGUGUCCCAUUAGUAGACAGCCUGUGCAGUUUUGUGAGAGUGCAGCAUGUUUUUGGGGUUGCUUGUGUAAAUGUAUUCAGAAAAGAGAGAGUGUGUGUGUGUGUGUGUGUGCCCGCGUGUGUGUGUGCGCGUGUGUGUGUGCGCGCGCACGUGUGUGCA
RNA transcript from Micropterus dolomieu (smallmouth bass), 7924 nucleotides. It is a transcript of the gene named ELKS/RAB6-interacting/CAST family member 2, with no coding region annotated. The record is from RefSeq and is a predicted model, not a curated record. The transcript has 18 exons. Lineage: Eukaryota; Metazoa; Chordata; Actinopteri; Centrarchiformes; Centrarchidae.